GAUGAACGCUGGCGGCGUGCUUAACACAUGCAAGUCGAACGGUGAAGCAGGAGCUUGCUCUUGUGGAUCAGUGGCGAACGGGUGAGUAACACGUGAGCAACCUGCCCCUGACUCUGGGAUAAGCGCUGGAAACGGCGGCUAAUACUGGAUAUGUGACGUGACCGCAUGGUCUGCAUCUGGAAAGAAUUUCGGUUGGGGAUGGGCGCGCGGCCUAUAAGCUUGUUGUUGAGGUAAUGGCUCACCAAGGCGUCGACGGGUAGCCGGCCUGAGAGGGUGACCGGCCACACUGGGACUGAGACACGGCCCAGACUCCUACGGGAGGCAGCAGUGGGGAAUAUUGCACAAUGGGCGGAAGCCUGAUGCAGCAACGCCGCGUGAGGGAUGACGGCCUUCGGGUUGUAAACCUCUUUUAGCAGGGAAGAAGCGAAAGUGACGGUACCUGCAGAAAAAGCACCGGCUAACUACGUGCCAGCCGCCGCCGUAA
This 484-nucleotide ribosomal RNA is filed under the name uncultured bacterium. Its description in RNAcentral is "partial 16S ribosomal RNA". It matches the Rfam family "Bacterial small subunit ribosomal RNA", at positions 28 to 523 of the family's 1533-position model. The record is from RNAcentral.